UUUCAUCUCGGUUUUCACUCUUUUCCUCAAAGCCAGGAGGCUUUAUGUCUCUAUCUAUAUGACCAAGACGAAACAACUCCCAUGCUUUAUCACUCAAAGGGUUGGGGGCUAUAUUCCUUCGCCCAGCAAACAGGGCGUUCUAGAGGCCAGAUAAGAUAGUCCUGUAUGAAGCAGCGGCGACGCAGAAGACGUUCGGAGGCUUGCUGUGACCAUGAUCUUCGCAGUCAGGUUAUUUUUGCGUUGCCUUCGACACCCCCUUUUCAACGAUUUGUUCAGUGAACAAUGUCUAUGUCACCUAGCACCGCAGUGCCCCCGUGGUACGCGUACGUCCGCUUUAUAAGUGGCCGAAAGCGUCACGUUGUCCGCGUUCGAGAUAUCAAAAACUUCUAUCUGGAACACUUGCGCGAUUUUGACAAGACACGGCCGUACUCUGUAAAAUGGACCUCACAAAAGAAUCCAGACGAGGACGGGCACUACCAAGUUUUUAUUCUACUAUGAAACGAAAGAAGACGCAGAAGCGCUCCAGAAGAAAAGGAUUCCAGUGCCACCACCACGAAUGGGAAGCCAACUGGAUGUUGCCGAGGAAAUACCAGAUGAUGAUGAUUAAAUCGAACGCACUGGAACGCAACAGAUCCAUCUGGGAAAUGAUGUGUGGCUACCGCUUGAGAGAUAUGACCACAUUCUCGCCAUUGGGGAUCUGAAAAAGGCUGUCAGAGAUGCAGCUAUGUCCAUUUUCUCGACUGGCGGUCUGCUGGACAAGAGCACCACCGGUCUCCCAUCUAACCGAUGCAUACAGAGUGGUGCAGUCGGGAAGGAAUGCAUCGACGGCAGGAAGCUCGUGGCAUUGUACAGCAAGUUGUUCCACUUUUCUCGUAUCGACGGUGUUCCCCUGCCACCACUGAAAUGUCCCUUCAUUUGUUGACAGACCUAUGUGCCAAGUACUGCGAUGCACACUUGAUAACAAAUACCAAAAAUGAACAGCAUGAAUGUACGCAAUGUACUGCGCGCAAAAAUACAGAUGAUGAGAGAAGCACUGAAGUCACAGUGAUGAAGGGGAGAACUGAUGUGGAAGUUCCACUGCCAUGCGGACCGUGCACAUGCGACUAUCCUACGACGUGCCCCGCAAACCAGACUACAAGAGAGACUCGUUAAGUUCAGCAAGUUGUAAUCUCUGUCUCUGUCUCUACUGUCACUUGUAAGUUGUAAUAAAGUUUGAUAAAACCCUGUU
Long non-coding RNA from Ornithodoros turicata, 1228 nucleotides. RefSeq lists it as uncharacterized. The transcript has 4 exons. Lineage: Eukaryota; Metazoa; Arthropoda; Arachnida; Ixodida; Argasidae. The record is from RefSeq and is a predicted model, not a curated record.